UUUUUUUUUUUUUGGAAAAGUGGCAAAUCAGCCUCAUUACUUUGUUUCCCUUUUCUUUGAAUUGUGAAUAUAAUUUCAUCUCACUUUAUUCAAUGUCUUCCAUUUUAGUUUGCUUUUGAGUGUUACAUAAACUGAUUGAGGUCAAACUAUUAACAUUAGUUUGGUUCUAUUGCAUGCUUUUUGUUUUGCCAUUCAAUUCUAUUUAAGCUAUUUUCAUGCCUCUUGUUCUCUCUUAUCACCUUAUAAGGACUGGUGCCUCCCUGGAAUGUGUAAACUUGUACACUCUAGAUUCAGCGACUAUGCUACAAAGACAAGCAUGUUCACGAUCUGAAUAGUAUAGUUGCGCACUUGUGCAAGAGUACUUCAUACUACUGAUGGAUGCCUGCUGCAGUGAAUUUGUAGCCUGUUUUUCAUUGACAAGUCGAUGGGGAUCUGGCCAAGUUAAAUAUAGAGAGAUUAUUGGCUUAAAUAAACUAAAAUUUGUUUGUGAAAUCCGGUACCAUAUAGUUAGAAUAUUUGCCAAGCAUUUAAAAAGUGGAUUGUCUAAUCUAUUAUCUCAACUUUCUCUAACCAUAGCCUUAUCUAAUGGGACCAUUAGCACAGAAGUAUUAAUACAGACUUGGAGCUAUGGUAGACUUGGUGCAAGAUGUUUUCUUUAAAGUAUUGUAACUUGUUAGCAAUUAUGUUCUCACAUGGCCUGAAUUUAAAAUGAAAACCACUUUGUAAUUAAUUAAUAUCAUUGAAACAAUUGCUCUCAUUGCCCUAUAGCUAUUGCUCUAUUGUAAUUAUUAUUAUCAUUAUUUCUUGUUUAUAGUGUAAACAAUCAAGCUACACUUUUUGACUGGUUCAAUGAAACUAAUUGUGAAGAUUAUGACAUUACUAAUGGCUGUAUCUGCUUUUUGGAUUCUCCCGAUGCAAACCUCAGUUCUUCCAGAAAGCUACACUUGGCUUGUUUGCUCUUUAGAUAAUGGGAUUGUUUUCACUUUGAUAAAUGCUUAAUAAGUUUGCCUGUUUACUUUCUCAUAUCUUGCCGCACAGUUGCCUCUGUAGUCUGUACAGCCUGUACUCCUUUGUGUCUCUUGGAUGCUAUUGCGGUAUUGCCUAUUGAUGAUUGGUCUUGAUCUCAUGAAAUUUCUGGCCUGUCCCCUAGACGAUUUUCUCUUACAACAGGACAAUUUGAAGCUAAGGAUUUCCUGAUGAAAAAAGGAGUAGAUGUUGGCUACAAUUAAUCAGUUCGUUGAUUGGUUUCACAUUCACACUAAGGGACCAAAGCACUCUGUUCUGAGAAGCUGCUAUGAAGCCUGUUCAGACGCUGGUGAAGUGUUGAAGGCUGUAAACUGUGCAAUAAUGGCAAUAACAACUGUUAACCCUGCAAUGUGAUUUCCUCAAUAUGUUAUAUAUGGAUGAGAUUCUUUUUUGUCUUUCAGACAGAUGAUAUAUUGUGUGGUUUAACUUUAAAGGUGGAAGAGGUUCCUGUGAAUUUUUAGUUCAAUCAUCAUAUUCUUUACUGCCUUUCACACUG
Molecule: long non-coding RNA, 1522 nt
Organism: Ipomoea triloba (trilobed morning glory)
Lineage: Eukaryota; Viridiplantae; Streptophyta; Magnoliopsida; Solanales; Convolvulaceae
Exons: 2
Source: RefSeq, a predicted model, not a curated record